CAGUAGCCACGGGAAUACGUAGGGUGCGAGCGUUAAUCGGAAUUACUGGGCGUAAAGCGCGCGCAGGCGGUUCGUUAAGACAGAUGUGAAAUCCCCGGGCUUAACCUGGGAACUGCAUUUGUGACUGGCGAGCUAGAGUAUGGCAGAGGGGGGUAGAAUUCCACGUGUAGCAGUGAAAUGCGUAGAGAUGUGGAGGAAUACCGAUGGCGAAGGCAGCCCCCUGGGCCAAUACUGACGCUCAUGCACGAAAGCGUGGGGAGCAAACAGGAUUAGAUACCCCCGUAGUCCCUGUCUCUUAUAC
RNAcentral lists this ribosomal RNA (301 nucleotides) under uncultured bacterium. Its description in RNAcentral is "partial 16S ribosomal RNA". It matches the Rfam family "Bacterial small subunit ribosomal RNA", at positions 509 to 807 of the family's 1533-position model. The record is from RNAcentral.